Molecule: ribosomal RNA, 280 nt
Filed under: Acinetobacter sp. 4AS75
Lineage: Bacteria; Pseudomonadati; Pseudomonadota; Gammaproteobacteria; Moraxellales; Moraxellaceae
Description: partial 16S rRNA
Rfam family: Bacterial small subunit ribosomal RNA
Source: RNAcentral
GCUCAGAUUGAACGCUGGCGGCAGGCUUAACACAUGCAAGUCGAGCGGAGAGAGGUAGCUUGCUACUGAUCUUAGCGGCGGACGGGUGAGUAAUGCUUAGGAAUCUGCCUAUUAGUGGGGGACAACAUUUCGAAAGGAAUGCUAAUACCGCAUACGUCCUACGGGAGAAAGCAGGGGAUCUUCGGACCUUGCGCUAAUAGAUGAGCCUAAGUCGGAUUAGCUAGUUGGUGGGGUAAAGGCCUACCAAGGCGACGAUCUGUAGCGGGUCUGAGAGGAUGAU